CCGCUCACUUCAGCAGCACAUAUGCUGAAACUGGAGCAAUUAGAGAAGAUUAACAUGGCUCCUGUGUAAGGAUGACACACAGAUUCAUGAAGUGUUCAAUAUCUUU
Molecule: small nuclear RNA, 106 nt
Filed under: Chinchilla lanigera (long-tailed chinchilla)
Lineage: Eukaryota; Metazoa; Chordata; Mammalia; Rodentia; Chinchillidae
Source: RNAcentral